RNAcentral lists this ribosomal RNA (478 nucleotides) under uncultured bacterium. RNAcentral describes it as "partial 16S ribosomal RNA". It matches the Rfam family "Bacterial small subunit ribosomal RNA", at positions 28 to 523 of the family's 1533-position model. The record is from RNAcentral.
GACGAACGCUGGCGGCGUGCCUAACACAUGCAAGUCGAACGGAAAGGCCCUUCGGGGUACUCGAGUGGCGAACGGGUGAGUAACAGGUGGGUGAUCUGCCCUGCACUUUGGGAUAAGCCUGGGAAACUGGGUCUAAUACUGAAUAUGACCGCAUGCUUCAUGGUGCGUGGUGGAAAGCUUUUGCGGUGUGGGAUGGGCCCGCGGCCUAUCAGCUUGUUGGGGGGGUAAUGGCCUACCAAGGCGACGACGGGUAGCCGGCCUGAGAGGGUGACCGGCCACACUGGGACUGAGAUACGGCCCAGACUCCUACGGGAGGCAGCAGUGGGGAAUAUUGAACAAUGGGCGCAAGCCUGAUGCAGCGACGCCGCGUGAGGGAUGACGGCCUUCGGGUUGUGAACCUCUUUCAGCAGGGACGAAGCGCAAGUGACGGUACCUGCAGAAGAAGGACCGGCCAACUACGUGCCAGCCGCCGCGGUAA